Corticium candelabrum is the source of this 1049-nucleotide RNA transcript. RefSeq lists it as uncharacterized. Lineage: Eukaryota; Metazoa; Porifera; Homoscleromorpha; Homosclerophorida; Plakinidae. The record is from RefSeq and is a predicted model, not a curated record. The transcript has 5 exons.
UAGUACAUGAUUACAUAUACUGUUUUACCUGUGUGGUGAUUGGUUGCCGAUUGCUUUGUCAAAGUUAUUUAGAUAUCAAGAGAGCAACUAGAAGAGGCUCGUAAACUGCUGCUGAAGUUUUAUCAAAUUUACGAACUUUUAUAUGGCAUGCACGAAAGCAGUGAAAGUACACCUUCUGCAACAUUCGCCGGAUGUUGUAGAGAAGUGGGGUGCUUUGUGGGGUCAUUCCUGCUUUUGGUAUGAGUCCCUAAAUGGUGUUCUUAAAAGGUUUGUACAAGGCACACGAUUUGUUUGCAGCCAGGUUGCAUCAGUUGUUAUGAUCAUUAAGACCAUUUCAGAUGUGCUACCAUCACCGACUGACCAGCUAUUAGCACCACCUGUAGUUCGUUUGGCUACAAAAUUUGGACUGAUGUGUUAAUAUCAACGGUCUUCAUCUGGACAACAUCAUAUAUAUGUCAUCGAAAUGAAGUCCCCUUUCAAAGCGAAAGAUUCUGUGAAAGUUUUUUGUCUACCGGAUCUGUUUGUUGACCCAAUCAAUGUUGUUUUGAGGAGGCUUGGCAACGAGGAACUUUGUCGUGGUUCGCCUGUCAAAACUGUUGGGAGACUGAAACUAGCUGGUCAUGUGAUAAACUCAAAGAAAAGUCACGCGACAAAGAAAAAUUCUUAUAAUGUCGAAUUUACCGAAUGUCAUGAAGAACAGCCGUUGUUUGGUUAUGUAUUACUCUUUAUCAUUUUUGGAUGUGAACGGUUUGCUGUUAUUCAACGGCUCAAUUAAAAUGGAGGAGUGGCCAUUAUUGCAUAAUGACGAUGACUGCAUGACUGAUGUUGUUGAUGCUUACAGUAAUCUUCGGGAGCCGAUCGGAAAGCAUUUACUUUCUUCUCGAGAGACUCGGGACCUGGUAGCAAUUCCUGUAGGAGACAUAACAGCUCGAGUAGUCUGUAUGAAAAUGUUAGGUUCAAGCUGUAUUUUUUGUGUCUCGAUUUCUUAACAUUAUCGAGUGUGAUCGAGUUGUGAAAUACUCAAGAAAUGGUCUUCGGCCGAUUGUGUG